GCCUGGGUGGCUCAGUUGGUUGGGCUUCUGACUUCGGUUCAGGUCAUGAUCUCACGGUGUGUGGGUUCGAGCCCCGCGUCAGGCU
This 85-nucleotide transfer RNA is filed under the name Felis catus (domestic cat). It matches the Rfam family "tRNA". Rfam says of the family: Transfer RNA (tRNA) molecules are approximately 80 nucleotides in length. Their secondary structure includes four short double-helical elements and three loops (D, anti-codon, and T loops). The record is from Rfam by way of RNAcentral. Lineage: Eukaryota; Metazoa; Chordata; Mammalia; Carnivora; Felidae. RNAcentral also lists the same sequence under 1 other name.